This 1017-nucleotide long non-coding RNA is filed under the name Dicentrarchus labrax (European seabass). Its description in RNAcentral is "lncRNA (ENSDLAG00005032018.1)". The record is from RNAcentral. Lineage: Eukaryota; Metazoa; Chordata; Actinopteri; Moronidae.
AUGGUCCCCUCGGUACCUGGGGUCAAGCAGUGUUGCUUUACUCAUCAUCCUCUGGAUGGUGUCAUCACCAUAUCUGCCUUCCAUCUGCUCCAGAAUGACACGCUUCAGGUCGGCUGCGCUUCAGUUUACAGAUGUUCAUUUCCCCCAGAUGAUGCAGGCACGAUGUGGACCAAUCAAGAUACAUCAUCAUUUUGAGUUUCUCCAAAUCGGACCAGUGGGGUAGCAUUUCUGGCCUUUUUCAAUUCUAACCUUUAAUUAAGGCACCCCCUGCUAUGCCAAUCAGUGGAAUGUCUGAAACGUCAGAGCUCUGGACCAAAAUAUACCAUCACUCCUGGUUUUGACAAAAUCGAAGCAGCAGCCUGAGAUCACAUUUGCGUUAACACUGACAUUUAAUCAGAGCGCCCUCAUUAGGUCAAUCAGUGCAGUUUUUAGUUUAUGUCAACCACUUUCAUUAGACUAAUGAGUGUUGUUUAUUUUUUUGUUUUUUGGCAUUUCCACUUUAUUUAAUCAUGAUAGUAGAGAGGGACAGGAAAGGCAGGUGAGAGAGAGAGGGGAUGACAUGCAGCAAAGGCCAGGGCUGGACUCAAACCCAGGCUGCUGUGGGAAGGACUCAGCCUAGAUUCGAUGCUCUACCAGGUGAGCUUAUUAUAUAAGUACAAAUAGUCUGCUUGGAACAAUAAUGUGUAUCUGAUAUGUUAUUUCAACAAUGAAAGUAUAAUUUCCAAAUUAAAAUCUGCUGUACAAGUUUGCAUUAACAAGACAGUUGAGAUGUGAGGGAGAUUCUAAAGUUUAGAAAGAUUUGACUGAAUUUGGCGAGAAUUGUGCUAUAGCUAUCUAAAAUAUUUCCAUUUGAGGGAGGUGCAGUAAAAAAACAGAUAAUACUCUGAGACAGUAUGGAAUAAGUUGAUUUUAAUAACCUUACAACUACUUAAAUAUGAAAAAAGUGUAUGUUGAGGGUUUAAAGAGAGUCGGCCGACCUAUUAAUCACAAUGAGGGCAAAAUUAAUCUGCUAUAAGG